GCCUAUGUCCAUCCUACCUUGAACACAUUUGAUCUUGGAAGUUAAGAAGGGUCAGGCCUGGCUACUACUUGGAUGGGAGACAGCUUGGGAAUACCAAGCUUUUGCU
This 106-nucleotide ribosomal RNA is filed under the name Sphenodon punctatus (tuatara). The record is from RNAcentral. Lineage: Eukaryota; Metazoa; Chordata; Lepidosauria; Sphenodontia; Sphenodontidae.